This 561-nucleotide ribosomal RNA is filed under the name uncultured beta proteobacterium. RNAcentral's name for it is "bacterial SSU rRNA". It matches the Rfam family "Bacterial small subunit ribosomal RNA", at positions 97 to 653 of the family's 1533-position model. Lineage: Bacteria; Pseudomonadati; Pseudomonadota; Betaproteobacteria. The record is from RNAcentral.
GGCGAACGGGUGAGUAAUGCAUCGGAACAUGUCCAUGUCGUGGGGGAUAGCCCGGCGAAAGCCGGAUUAAUACCGCAUACGCCCGAGAGGGGAAAGCAGGGGACCGCAAGGCCUUGCGCGAUUGGGUUGGCCGAUGUCCGAUUAGCUUGUUGGUGGGGUAAAGGCUUACCAAGGCGAUGAUCGGUAGCUGGUCUGAGAGGAUGAUCAGCCACACUGGGACUGAGACACGGCCCAGACUCCUACGGGAGGCAGCAGUGGGGAAUUUUGGACAAUGGGGGCAACCCUGAUCCAGCCAUUCCGCGUGAGUGAAGAAGGCCUUCGGGUAGUAAAGCUCUUUUGUCCGGGACGAAACGGUUGUGGUGAAUAUCCACGACUACUGACGGUACCGGAAGAAUAAGCACCGGCUAACUACGUGCCAGCAGCCGCGGUAAUACGUAGGGUGCGAGCGUUAAUCGGAAUUACUGGGCGUAAAGCGUGCGCAGGCGGUUUUGUAAGCCAGAUGUGAAAUCCCCGGGCUUAACCUGGGAAUGGCAUUUGGGACUGCAAGGCUGGAGUGUGGCA